RNAcentral lists this long non-coding RNA (439 nucleotides) under Ananas comosus (pineapple). RNAcentral's name for it is "long non-coding RNA (ACOM_LNC021669)". The record is from RNAcentral. Lineage: Eukaryota; Viridiplantae; Streptophyta; Magnoliopsida; Poales; Bromeliaceae.
UAAACAACCAUAAGAUUGAUCUUUAAAUCCUUUUUUUUUUUUUUUGAUAGAAAGAUAGCAUGCUACAUGCUUCAUUCAUUAGGUAAAUAAACUUAGCUACAUAGGGUGAGAUAGCGAGGGCCUCAGGAAGACGACUAAACGAAGGAGAAAGGAACUAAAAGAAGAACAAAAAAGAACAACAAAGAACUACAACAAACGUACCCGACUCUGCAAAAAUCGGCCCACUUUUUUGCUAGAACUCCAAUACGAUGAGCAGUAGAGAUAGCAUUCGUGGGUAUGUUUCGAAAAAUAACAUUAUUUCUUUCGCAUCAAAUCGUCCACCAGAUAGCCACCACAAGGAUUCGAGGCUUCAAAGUGUCAAUCUGUGACUCUCUCCUCACCAGCUCUUUCCAAACGAACUUGGCGUCCUCGCAUGACGGGUAGACGUAGGGCGCCUCUU